UGCAAGUCGAGGGGUAUUGGUUUUCGGACCAAGAGACCGGCGCACGGGUGCGUAACGCGUAUGCAAUCUACCUUUUGCAGAGGGAUAGCCCAGAGAAAUUUGGAUUAAUACCUCAUAGUAUAGUACCUUGGCAUCAAGGAACUAUUAAAGUCACAACGGCAAAAGAUGAGCAUGCGUCCCAUUAGCUAGUUGGUAAGGUAACGGCUUACCAAGGCGACGAUGGGUAGGGGUCCUGAGAGGGAGAUCCCCCACACUGGUACUGAGACACGGACCAGACUCCUACGGGAGGCAGCAGUGAGGAAUAUUGGACAAUGGGCGCAAGCCUGAUCCAGCCAUGCCGCGUGCAGGAUGACGGUCCUAUGGAUUGUAAACUGCUUUUAUACGAGAAGAAACAACUCUACGUGUAGAGUCUUGACGGUAUCGUAAGAAUAAGCAUCGGCUAACUCCGUGCCAGCAGCCGCGGUAAUACGGGGGAUGCAAGCGUUAUCCGGAUUUAUUGGGUUUAAAGGGUGCGUAGGCGGUUUGAUAAGUCAGCGGUGAAAUAUUUCAGCUUAACUGAAAGGGUGCCGUUGAUACUGUCAGGCUUGAAUAUGGUUGCUGUGGGUGGAAUGUGUGGUGUAGCGGUGAAAUGCUUAGAUAUCACACAGAAUAUCGAUUGCGAAGGCAGCUCACAAAGCCAUUAUUGACGCUGAUGCACGAAAGUGUGGGGAUCAAACAGGAUUAGAUACCCUGGUAGUCCACACUGUAAACGAUGAUAACUCGCUGUCGGCGAUACACAGUCGGUAGCCAAGCGAAAGCGAUAAGUUAUCCACCUGGGGAGUACGACCGCAAGGUUGAAACUCAAAGGAAUUGACGGGGGCCCGCACAAGCGGAGGAACAUGUGGUUUAAUUCGAUGAUACGCGAGGAACCUUACCCGGGCUCGAACGGUGCAGGAAUACAUCAGAGAUGGUGUAGCUAGCAAUAGUCUGUAUCGAGGUGCUGCAUGG
RNAcentral lists this ribosomal RNA (987 nucleotides) under uncultured bacterium. RNAcentral describes it as "bacterial SSU rRNA". It matches the Rfam family "Bacterial small subunit ribosomal RNA", at positions 56 to 1048 of the family's 1533-position model. The record is from RNAcentral.